CGAGAAAGCCCGCAAGGGUGAGUACAGCGGCGCACGGGUGCGUAACACGUGGGUAAUCUGCCCUGGAGCCCGGAAUAACUCCCCGAAAGGGGUGCUAAUGCCGGAUGAGCCCACGGGAGCCUCGGCUCCUGCGGGAAAAGGUGGCCUCUGCAUGCAAGCUAUCACUUCAGGAUGAGCCCGCGGCCCAUCAGCUAGUUGGCGGGGUAAUGGCCCACCAAGGCUACGACGGGUAGCUGGUCUGAGAGGACGAUCAGCCACACUGGAACUGAGACACGGUCCAGACUCCUACGGGAGGCAGCAGUGGGGAAUCUUGCGCAAUGGGCGAAAGCCUGACGCAGCAACGCCGCGUGUGUGAUGAAGGUCUUCGGAUCGUAAAGCACUGUCGCGAGGGACG
Molecule: ribosomal RNA, 394 nt
Filed under: uncultured Anaeromyxobacter sp.
Lineage: Bacteria; Pseudomonadati; Myxococcota; Myxococcia; Myxococcales; Anaeromyxobacteraceae
Description: bacterial SSU rRNA
Rfam family: Bacterial small subunit ribosomal RNA
Source: RNAcentral